Molecule: long non-coding RNA, 622 nt
Organism: Pelodiscus sinensis (Chinese soft-shelled turtle)
Lineage: Eukaryota; Metazoa; Chordata; Testudines; Trionychidae
Source: RefSeq, a predicted model, not a curated record
AAUGGGGCUCCAAAUGCACCUCUCUGUGGAACUUCUUGAAAUGAACAUGUGCAGUCUCUCAAAAAAGAAAAAAUGGUUAUUAACCUUUUUGUAAUGGUAGUGAUAGGAAGAAGCUUAGAGGAACCAGUUGUCAACCCUUUAUGUCUGUACAGCAUGCACAAGAUGGCAGAAAGUACUCAGGCCUUGCCAAUAGAUAUCUCAAAGAGUAAAUCUGUCUGAGAACCAUGCUGGAGCCCGAAACCCCCUCCAAUGGAAUGGAUGCGUGCAACACAUUUCAACAAACAACAGUUAUGGCAAGGAUACUGCUGCCACUACACUGUUAUGAUACAUAGUGUGGAGACUCUGGAGGUGUUGCUGCUGCUGCUGUAAGAACAUCAGCAAUAAUGAUGGUAUUAUCUACCACCACGUAUAUAUCAUUUAGAAGACUGUAGAUGAAAGAAGAAGCUCAGCGAGCUAAAGAUGUGCCAGGGUGGAAUACAGAAAUGUUUUAGCAUUUCACAGUGAUAACUACACAUCAGUUUUGAGAAAGAAAGUGAAGAAUAUUUCAUCCAGUUUCAAGACAUAAAGUGAAGAAUAGUAGGCAGAAAGCGAAGAAUAAUGCAUCAAGAUGAGUCUAUUUGUG